Molecule: ribosomal RNA, 492 nt
Filed under: uncultured bacterium
Lineage: Bacteria
Description: partial 16S ribosomal RNA
Rfam family: Bacterial small subunit ribosomal RNA
Source: RNAcentral
AGUGAACGCUGGCGGUAGGCCUAACACAUGCAAGUCGAACGGCAGCACAGUAAGAGCUUGCUCUUACGGGUGGCGAGUGGCGGACGGGUGAGGAAUACAUCGGAAUCUACUUUUUCGUGGGGGAUAACGUAGGGAAACUUACGCUAAUACCGCAUACGACCUACGGGUGAAAGCAGGGGAUCUUCGGACCUUGCGCGAUUGAAUGAGCCGAUGUCGGAUUAGCUAGUUGGCGGGGUAAAGGCCCACCAAGGCGACGAUCCGUAGCUGGUCUGAGAGGAUGAUCAGCCACACUGGAACUGAGACACGGUCUAGACCCCUACGGGAGGCAGCAGUGGGGAAUAUUGGACAAUGGGCGCAAGCCUGAUCCAGCCAUACCGCGUGGGUGAAGAAGGCCUUCGGGUUGUAAAGCCCUUUUGUUGGGAAAGAAAAGCAGCAGGUUAAUACCCCGCUGUUCUGACGGUACCCAAAGAAUAAGCACCGGCUAACUUCGUG